CUGGCCGAAGAGCUGCACAAGACGUACGGCGA
RNAcentral lists this non-coding RNA (32 nucleotides) under Geobacter sulfurreducens KN400. The record is from RNAcentral. Lineage: Bacteria; Pseudomonadati; Thermodesulfobacteriota; Desulfuromonadia; Geobacterales; Geobacteraceae.